This 123-nucleotide ribosomal RNA is filed under the name Prolemur simus (greater bamboo lemur). Lineage: Eukaryota; Metazoa; Chordata; Mammalia; Primates; Lemuridae. The record is from RNAcentral.
UACCACCCUGAACGCGCCCGAUCUCAUCUGAUCUCGGAAGCUAAGCAGGGUCGGGCCCGGUUAGUACUUGGAUGGGAGAUCAUAAAACACUUUCUUUAUUGGCACAGGGAGAUGUUCCAGGCC